Molecule: long non-coding RNA, 354 nt
Organism: Rhipicephalus microplus (southern cattle tick)
Lineage: Eukaryota; Metazoa; Arthropoda; Arachnida; Ixodida; Ixodidae
Source: RefSeq, a predicted model, not a curated record
GGCUAUCCCAGAAAAUGGUGACUACACUUGAAAAACAAGCUGUCCAUCAUAGUGAAGCGCAGGGACAAUAUGUUUUUCUGCACCAGACUGACUUAGGAAGUGGUUUUAAAAGACCGAUCCCAGCUUGGCGACAGCAUAGUCAAUCAAUAAUUUGGCGAUGGAUUCAAAACAACCCCGAUGACUUAUCUUCGUAAAGGGCCUUUUUACGGCUGUUUGGAGUUCGACAGACGUGCUGGAAAGGGUUGUCCAUGCUGUUUUCUGACCCUCUAAAGAAGGAGCCACUGUUACCACGAAAAAUGUCUGUUAUACGCGCAGAGUGAAGAUAAAUCAUCGCGUCUAAUAUUUAUUCACCAA